UUAACGCAAUAAGUACCCCGCCUGGGGAGUACGACCGCAAGGUUGAAACUCAAAGGAAUUGACGGGGGCCCGCACAAGCGAUGGAGUAUGUGGUUUAAUUCGACGCAACGCGAAGAACCUUACCAGGUCUUGACGUUGAUGGACAGAACUAGAGAUAGUUCCUCUUCUUCGGAAGCCAGAAAACAGGUGGUGCACGGUUGUCGUCAGCUCGUGUCGUGAGAUGUUGGGUUAAGUCCCGCAACGAGCGCAACCCCUAUCUUAUGUUGCCAGCACUUUGGGUGGGAACUCAUGAGAGACUGCCGCAGACAAUGCGGAGGAAGGCGGGGAUGACGUCAAAUCAUCAUGCCCCUUAUGACCUGGGCUACACACGUACUACAAUGGGAGUUAAUAGACGGAAGCAAUACCGCGAGGUGGAGCAAACCCGAGAAACACUCUCUCAGUUCGGAUCGUAGGCUGCAACUCGCCUACGUGAAGUCGGAAUCGCUAGUAAUCGCAGGUCAGCAUACUGCGGUGAAUACGUUCCCGGGCCUUGCACACACCGCCCGUCAGCACUCACCGCCCG
RNAcentral lists this ribosomal RNA (562 nucleotides) under uncultured organism. RNAcentral describes it as "SSU rRNA". It matches the Rfam family "Bacterial small subunit ribosomal RNA", at positions 852 to 1413 of the family's 1533-position model. The record is from RNAcentral.